Molecule: long non-coding RNA, 559 nt
Filed under: Brassica rapa (field mustard)
Lineage: Eukaryota; Viridiplantae; Streptophyta; Magnoliopsida; Brassicales; Brassicaceae
Description: long non-coding RNA (BRAP_LNC008967)
Source: RNAcentral
GGUCAGUGUCCGAGUUGUCCUCACUGGAUUGGGACUGUUCUUCUGGAAUGGGUUGAUUUCUCCUCCUCGGCCGGGGAGCAUUAGCUCGAUCCCUCCCAGCUAUAUGAGCCAGCUGCUCAGUUACAGUAGCCAGUGCGGCUUGGAGUUCAGCAUGGUUAGCCAUCAGUUGAGCAUUGAUCUCGGCUUGUGUUGGUGCUCCAUUUAGAUCUCCCAUGUCGCCUGUGACAAAAGAGGAAGAAAGAAAAGUGAUCUGCAAGGGAUCAAAGAAAAAGGAGGAAGAUACCUAAAUAGAUAUGCAAUUGAAUGUUAAACUUCCUUUUUUUUUUUUUUAUAAGUUUUCGAAAAUUAAAAUAUGGAAAGUAUAAACUUCCCUUUUUUUUUUUUUUUUAAAUUUUGGAAAAACUUGGAGUGCAAUCCAAGGAAAAAUUAAAUGCAAUUAAAUGGAAAUCCGCAAAAUGGAAAGUAAGAAAAAUCGAUGGAUCAAGAUAUGCCAAAAGGAAAAAUAUGGUUUUGAACUCGCCAAGAACAGCAAGAACACAAUGCAAUUUUUUUGAAGUUC